Molecule: long non-coding RNA, 786 nt
Filed under: Rhinopithecus roxellana (golden snub-nosed monkey)
Lineage: Eukaryota; Metazoa; Chordata; Mammalia; Primates; Cercopithecidae
Description: lncRNA (ENSRROG00000045841.1)
Source: RNAcentral
UGUGAUACAAAUAUUUUCUUCUCUUUCUUGACCAUUGAAGGCACAGGACAGAUGGACUUUCCUGAGCCACAGUAGUUUGCAACCCUGGUGAUGACCUGAGACCUUGUUUUCCACGGGUGCUGUUACACUGCUAUUGGAAGAACACCAGGAGAGGCUCAGCUUCUUAACAGACUGUCAGCGUAAGGCUUUCUCCUGGGCAUGAGACAGUGGCCAAGAUACAUACAGAGGCACAUUGGAAAUGCAGUAGAAAAUGGCUGCAGAUUUAAAACCAGAAGUUAAGAAGAGUGAACCCGAAUGUAUAGCAAGAGAGCUUCAGGCUGGACUGGCUUCCAGCAGAAGUGGGACUGGAAACCUUGGAUUCUGUUGCCUCUUCUCUGUGACGUGGGAAAACAUGUUUCAUGGCAUGAUAUGACUCAAUCCACAGACGAAGGCUGCUGAGCCCGGGACAGCUUAUGGGACCAGCCCAUAUGAGAAGCACAAAUGUACAGAAACAAACUGAACCCAAGGAAAGAUUGGUGAUACUUUGGGAGGGAUGACAGAGGAAGGGGAAACACAUUGUCCAUCCCUGUCCCAGCAAGGAGCCAGCUCCCAUUCAGCAGUCUCUGUGAACAUCUAGGUAGCUUCCGCAUUCUUUCUGUCCAGUUGUGAGCAGCCACCAACUAUGAUUCCCCUUUUCCAGCAGGCUUUGCUUUCACAUCACAAAGCAUCAUCCUGAGAAACAAUUACAGUUCUUUUUAGAGUUCUGUUUCCUUCACAGGUAUCUAUUGUCCUAAUAAAUGGAAUUCC